CGAACGAUUAAGACUUCCUUCGGGAAGUGUAUAAAGUGGCGCACGGGUGAGUAACACGUAAGUAAUCUACCUUCGAGUGGGGAAUAACAUCGGGAAACCGAUGCUAAUACCGCAUAACGCAGCAGCAUCGCAAGAUGACAGUUGUUAAAGGAAUUUAUUUCGCUUGAAGAGGAGCUUGCGGCAGAUUAGCUAGUUGGUAAGGUAAUGGCUUACCAAGGCUACGAUCUGUAUCCGGUCUAAGAGGACGGUCGGACACACUGACACUGAAUAACGGGUCAGACUCCUACGGGAGGCAGCAGUCGGGAAUUUUGGGCAAUGGGCGAAAGCCUGACCCAGCAACGCCGCGUGAAGGAUGAAGUAUUUCGGUAUGUAAACUUCGAAAGAAUAGGAAGAAUAAAUGACGGUACUAUUUAUAAGCUCCGGCUAACUACGUGCCAGCAGCCGCGGUAAUACGUAGGGAGCAAGCGUUGUUCGGAUUUACUGGGCGUAAAGGGCGCGUAGGCGGCGCGGUAAGUCACUUGUGAAAUCUCUGAGCUUAACUCAGAACGGCCAAGUGAUACUGCAGUGCUAGAGUGCAGAAGGGGCAAUCGGAAUUCUUGGUGUAGCGGUG
Molecule: ribosomal RNA, 610 nt
Filed under: uncultured bacterium
Lineage: Bacteria
Description: bacterial SSU rRNA
Rfam family: Bacterial small subunit ribosomal RNA
Source: RNAcentral